GACGAACGCUGGCGGCGUGCUUAACACAUGCAAGUCGAACGGAAAGGCUCCAGCUUGCUGGAGUACUCGAGUGGCGAACGGGUGAGUAACACGUGGGUAAUCUGCCCUGCACUCUGGGAUAAGCCUGGGAAACUGGGUCUAAUACUGGAUAUGACCUUUCUCCUUAUGGGGUUUGGUGGAAAGUUUUUCGGUGUAGGAUGAGCCCGCGGCCUAUCAGCUUGUUGGUGGGGUGAUGGCCUACCAAGGCGACGACGGGUAGCCGGCCUGAGAGGGUGAUCGGGCUCAAUGGUACUAAGGUACGGACCAGAGUGCUACAGGGGACAGUAGUGGGGAGUAUGACACAGUGGGCGGGAGCCUGAUGCAGCGACGCCGCGUGUGUGAUGACGGCCUGCUGGGUAUAAACCGCAGUCGGCAGAAACGAAGCGGAAGUGACGGUACCUACAGAAGAAGCACCGGCUAACUAUGUG
This 467-nucleotide ribosomal RNA is filed under the name uncultured bacterium. Its description in RNAcentral is "partial 16S ribosomal RNA". It matches the Rfam family "Bacterial small subunit ribosomal RNA", at positions 28 to 507 of the family's 1533-position model. The record is from RNAcentral.